UCUGAAUCUGCGAACGGCUCCGCACACCAGUUGUAAACUAUAGCAAGUCCGCAUGACCACGGGCAACCGUGGUUGUGCUCACAGGGAUAACCCUGGUAAUUCUGAGGCUAAUACAAGAACGUAAAACUCGGUUAACCGGUUCGCUGGAAGGCCGAGGGUCGUGUGAGGCUUUUACUGCAACACCGACACGAAAGAGUGCACGAUCAAACCACCAUAAUAAACGAUAGGGCAGGGAAACCCCAUUAGGGAUGUACCGGUCCGUUCGGGUGGGCCUUGCUGUGUGCUUCUGACCUAUCAACUAGAUGGCAGCGUAAAGGACAUGCUAUGGU
RNAcentral lists this ribosomal RNA (329 nucleotides) under Physarum compressum. RNAcentral describes it as "bacterial SSU rRNA". It matches the Rfam family "Eukaryotic small subunit ribosomal RNA", at positions 80 to 350 of the family's 1831-position model. Lineage: Eukaryota; Evosea; Eumycetozoa; Physariida; Physaraceae. The record is from RNAcentral.